Molecule: ribosomal RNA, 253 nt
Filed under: uncultured bacterium
Lineage: Bacteria
Description: partial 16S ribosomal RNA
Rfam family: Bacterial small subunit ribosomal RNA
Source: RNAcentral
UACGUAGGGGGCGAGCGUUGUCCGGAAUUACUGGGCGUAAAGCGCGCGCAGGCGGCCGGCCGCGUCGGACGUGAAAGCCCCCGGCUCAACCGGGGCGGGUCGUCCGGGACGGGUCGGCUGGAGGGAGCGAGAGGGGGGUGGAAUGCCGGGUGGAGCGGUGAAAUGCGUAGAGACCCGGCGGAACACCAGGGGCGAAGGCGGCCCCCUGGCGCUCGCCUGACGCUGAGGCGCGAAGGCUAGGGGAGCGAACGGG